CAGAGAAUAGUUUAAUUAAAAAUUUUAAUUUUGGAGAUUAAAGAUAGAGGUUUCUUUUUCUCUGA
This 65-nucleotide transfer RNA is filed under the name Cucujoidea sp. 15 KM-2017. RNAcentral describes it as "tRNA-Pro". Lineage: Eukaryota; Metazoa; Arthropoda; Insecta; Coleoptera. The record is from RNAcentral.